This 326-nucleotide ribosomal RNA is filed under the name Actinomycetota bacterium. Its description in RNAcentral is "bacterial SSU rRNA". It matches the Rfam family "Bacterial small subunit ribosomal RNA", at positions 1 to 323 of the family's 1533-position model. Lineage: Bacteria; Bacillati; Actinomycetota. The record is from RNAcentral.
UGGAGAGUUUGAUCCUGGCUCAGGACGAACGCUGGCGGCGUGCUUAACACAUGCAAGUCGAACGAGAUCCAUGCAGUAGCAAUACUGCGGAAGAUCUAGUGGCGAACGGGUGCGUAACACGUGAGGAACUUGUCCCGGUCUCUGGGAUAACAGUUGGAAACGACUGCUAAUACCGGAUGACGUCGGAGCAUCGCAUGGUGCGCUGACGAAAGGGUUACUGGAUCGGGAGAGCCUCGCGGCCUAUCAGCUUGUUGGUGGGGUAACGGCCCACCAAGGCAUCGACGGGUAGCUGGUCUGAGAGGAUGAUCAGCCACACUGGGACUGAG